This is a long non-coding RNA of Astatotilapia calliptera (eastern happy), 662 nucleotides long. NCBI's taxonomy places the organism in Eukaryota, Metazoa, Chordata, Actinopteri, Cichliformes, Cichlidae. The record is from Ensembl.
AUUACAGUUGAGUGGAGUCGAGAUUGCCAUACCAUGGUGAUGUAGCCGGGUCAGUCUGGCUGUUGUGAUGUAGCUCUGAGUCUAUGAGGUCACUUCCUGUUCCUGAACAUUAGUGUUUCCUGUGACAUGAAGGCAGUGGUCACACAGGAAGAAAGCGUUUGAAGAAAAAGAAAAAAUGCAUCCUUCAGUGAGGUACAUGGGUCAGGACUUGUUUCUGUGGCGACAGGACUGGACCUGCAGGAGAACAAAGUGUUUAAAAGGGAAACACAAUCAUAAAGAACGAGGAAGCAGCAAGGAUUCUGGGCGGAGCUUCCUGUGGCUGACUGAUCUAACCCUCGCUCACCUCUCAGUGGCGCCGAAGUAACUGCGUCCAUUUGUGAUGUCAGCAAGGUUUCUGUGUGCACUUCCUGUCAGGUCGAGGCGCUGCACUGUCUCUGAGCUCAGGUGGUCUGAUGUGGGUGGGGCUCAGAAAGCACAGCAAAUAAACUCUUUCCAGGUUAAUGCCACCUGCCUGCUCACCUGGUUUCUUGCAAAAGACCUUUUAGAUUAAAAGCCUCGCAUUGUUCCCGUGCAGGUGUUCAGGUUUUAGACUUUUCUGUUCUUAUUGUUGAUUAAAGUUCGCUGAGACUUUUACUGUUAGAAUAAAUGUUGUUCUAGCUCUU